ACGAACGCUGGCGGCGUGCUUCACACAUGCAAGUCGAACGGAAAGGCCCUGCUUUUGUGGGGUGCUCGAGUGGCGAACGGGUGAGUAACACGUGAGUAACCUGCCCUUGACUUUGGGAUAACUUCAGGAAACUGGGGCUAAUACCGGAUAGGAGCUCCUGCUGCAUGGUGGGGGUUGGAAAGUUUCGGCGGUUGGGGAUGGACUCGCGGCUUAUCAGCUUGUUGGUGGGGUAGUGGCUUACCAAGGCUUUGACGGGUAGCCGGCCUGAGGGGGUGACCGGCCACAGGGGGACGGGGAAAGGGCCCAGGCCCCCACGGGGGGCAGGGGGGGGGAAUUUUGCACAAGGGGGGGAGGCCGUGGGCAACAACGCCGGGUGGGGGAUGACGGCCUUCGGGUUUGAAACCGCUUUCGCCUGUGAAGAAGCGGGGGGGACGGUAAUGGGGAAAGAAGCACCGGUAAACUAGGU
RNAcentral lists this ribosomal RNA (466 nucleotides) under uncultured bacterium. Its description in RNAcentral is "partial 16S ribosomal RNA". It matches the Rfam family "Bacterial small subunit ribosomal RNA", at positions 29 to 506 of the family's 1533-position model. The record is from RNAcentral.